This is a long non-coding RNA of Pan troglodytes (chimpanzee), 1449 nucleotides long. RefSeq lists it as uncharacterized. The record is from RefSeq and is a predicted model, not a curated record. Lineage: Eukaryota; Metazoa; Chordata; Mammalia; Primates; Hominidae. The transcript is spliced from 3 exons.
AUGAUGGCACCAUUCCUGGAGUUAGGCCUUCAACCAAAGAGCUGGGCCAUCCGUGGCAAUGCCUCCCAGGCUUGGGAGCUGGGAAAAGGCCCCAGGAGCUAGGGCAUUCUGAUUGUUCUUUCAAAGAAAUCCCUCUUGUUCUUAGUCAACAUGCUGGAUACCAGCUAAAAAAUGCAAAAUGAUCUUCAGGCAGGGAUGGCACAGGACCCUUGCUGAGCUGUGAAGCCUGGCUGUGAGGAUUCCUGCAUGGAAACAUCAACAUGUUGCCAGAUUGGUAUACGACUCAGCACCACACUGACAUGCUGCUCCCAAACAGUGCCUUUGAAUCAAGACCCAGUCAUCGUAUUCGAAGAAAAAAGAAAUAUCCCUGACCAUGUUGGGACUUACACUGCUUCACAGAGGGUGAGGACCACUACAGGACAAAAAAGAGCUCCUUUUUUCCAGUCUCAGCCCAGGAGGGAUCUUCACAGAGAAAGCAAGCCCAGCCCAUCCCCACAGCUGGCUCCCUGGUGCCCAUUCUGAAAGGCUGCACCCAUCCUGACCCGUCCCUACCCCAAGGACUGCCUGGUGAGGGACGGCUUACCAACACUGUGACUCAGUCCUUCCAACAUGCCCAACAGGUCAAUUCUGGGAUAUUCCUUACAGGAAUUAAUGAGAGCACAUUGCCGGUAAUGUUGGCAUUAGUAGAUUACAUUUAAAUUUAAAAAUUCCUUUUAUGGGGUUUAAGAAUAGAGACAAGACACCCAUGCAAUAAAGAAAGGAGGAGACUUUGCCUGGUCUAAUGGAGAAGCUGGAGCUGCAUUGUUGGGUACAGUGGCCAGUGGCUACACCUGGCUUUUGAGCCCUUGCACAGUGGCAAGGACACAUUGAGAUGUGCCCUAGGUGCAAGAUACACACAGGAUUUCAAAGACUGAGUAUGAAAAAAGAAGAAAAAAUGUCUCAUUAAUAUUUUUAUAUUGGUUGCAUGUGGAAGUGAUAACAUUUUGGAUAUACAGUUGACCUUUGAACAGCAUGGGUUUGAACUGCACAGGUCUGCUUAUAAGUGAAAUUUCUUCUGCCUCUGCCACCCCUGAGACAGCAAGACCAACCCUCCACUUCCUCCUCCUCCUCCUCAACCUGCUCAACAUGAAGAUGAUGAAGAUCAAGACCUUCAUGAUGAUCUACUUCCACUUAAUGAAUAGUAAAUAUAUUUUCUCUUCCUUGUGAUUUUCUUAAUAACAUUUUCUUUCCUCUAGCUUAUUUUGUUGUAAGGAUACAGUGCUAUAUAAUAUUUAUAACAUACAAAAUAUGUGUUAACCAACUCUGCUAUCAGUAAGGCUUCUGAUCAACAGUAUGCUAACAUUUUUGGACAGUAGUUAAGUUUGGGCAGAGUCAAAAGUUAUAGGCAGAUUCUUGAUUGUGUGGGGUAUUGGCAUCCCUAAUCUCUGCACUGUUCAAGGGUAAACUGCA